This 65-nucleotide transfer RNA is filed under the name Hypothenemus sp. BMNH 1040003. RNAcentral describes it as "tRNA-Leu". It matches the Rfam family "tRNA". From Rfam's summary of the family: Transfer RNA (tRNA) molecules are approximately 80 nucleotides in length. Their secondary structure includes four short double-helical elements and three loops (D, anti-codon, and T loops). Further hydrogen bonds mediate the characteristic L-shaped molecular structure. tRNAs have two regions of fundamental functional importance: the anti-codon, which is responsible for specific mRNA codon recognition, and the 3' end, to which the tRNAs corresponding amino acid is attached (by aminoacyl-tRNA synthetases). tRNAs cope with the degeneracy of the genetic code in two manners: having more than one tRNA (with a specific anti-codon) for a particular amino acid; and 'wobble' base-pairing, i.e. permitting non-standard base-pairing at the 3rd anti-codon position. The record is from RNAcentral. RNAcentral also lists the same sequence under 1 other name. Lineage: Eukaryota; Metazoa; Arthropoda; Insecta; Coleoptera; Curculionidae.
UCUAAUAUGGCAGAAUAGUGCAUUGGAUUUAAGCCCCAAAAAUAAAGCCCAAGCUUUUUUUAGAA